GACGAACGCUGGCGGCGUGCCUAAUACAUGCAAGUAGAACGCUGAAGGAGUAGCUUUCUUCUCUGGAUGAGUUGCGAACGGGUGAGUAACGCGUAGGUAACCUGCCUGGUAGCGUGGGAUAACUAUUGGAAACGAUAGCUAAUACCGCAUAAGAGUAGAUGUUGCAUGACAUUUGCUGAAAAGGUGCAAUUGCAUCACUACCAGAUGGGCCUGCGUUGUAUUUGCGAGUAGUAGCGGUAACGGCUCACGAAGGCGACGAUACAUAGCCGAACUGAGAGGGGGGUCGGCCGCACUGAGACUGAGACCGGGCCCAGAGUGCUACGGGAGGGAGCAGUAGGGAAUCUUCGGCAAUCGGCGGAAGUCUGACCGAGCAACGCGGCGGGAGUGAAGAAGGAUGUCGGAUCGUAGAGGUCGGUUGUAAGGGAAGAACGAGCGUGAGAGUGGAAAGUUCACACUGUGACGGUAUCGUACAAGAAAGCGCCGGCUAACUACGUG
RNAcentral lists this ribosomal RNA (495 nucleotides) under uncultured bacterium. RNAcentral's name for it is "partial 16S ribosomal RNA". It matches the Rfam family "Bacterial small subunit ribosomal RNA", at positions 28 to 507 of the family's 1533-position model. The record is from RNAcentral.